Molecule: ribosomal RNA, 501 nt
Filed under: uncultured bacterium
Lineage: Bacteria
Description: bacterial SSU rRNA
Rfam family: Bacterial small subunit ribosomal RNA
Source: RNAcentral
AGAGUUUGAUCCUGGCUCAGAUUGAACGCUGGCGGAAUGCUUUACACAUGCAAGUCGAACGGCAGCACGGGGCAACCUGGUGGCGAGUGGCGAACGGGUGAGUAAUACAUCGGAACGUGCCCAAUCGUGGGGGAUAACGUAGCGAAAGUUACGCUAAUACCGCAUACGAUCUACGGAUGAAAGCGGGGGAUCGCAAGACCUCGCGCGAGUGGAGCGGCCGAUGUCAGAUUAGGUAGUUGGUGGGGUAAAGGCUCACCAAGCCAACGAUCUGUAGCUGGUCUGAGAGGACGACCAGCCACACUGGAACUGAGACACGGUCCAGACUCCUACGGGAGGCAGCAGUGGGGAAUUUUGGACAAUGGGCGCAAGCCUGAUCCAGCCAUUCCGCGUGCAGGAUGAAGGCCUUCGGGUUGUAAACUGCUUUGUACGGAACGAAACGGCGAGCUCUAAUACAGUUUGCUAAUGACGGUACCGUAAGAAUAAGCACCGGCUAACUACGUG